GGUUCCAUAGUGUAGCGGUUAGCACAUCUGCUUUACAGGCAGAAGGUCCUGGGUUCAUGUCUCAGUGGAGCCA
This 73-nucleotide transfer RNA is filed under the name Pteropus alecto (black flying fox). It matches the Rfam family "tRNA". From Rfam's summary of the family: Transfer RNA (tRNA) molecules are approximately 80 nucleotides in length. Their secondary structure includes four short double-helical elements and three loops (D, anti-codon, and T loops). Lineage: Eukaryota; Metazoa; Chordata; Mammalia; Chiroptera; Pteropodidae. The record is from Rfam by way of RNAcentral.